GUGGUUGUAGCUCAGUGGUAGAGCACUCGCCUUGCAUGUAUGAGGCCCUGGGUUUGAUUCUCAGCAACACA
Ictidomys tridecemlineatus (thirteen-lined ground squirrel) is the source of this 71-nucleotide non-coding RNA. Lineage: Eukaryota; Metazoa; Chordata; Mammalia; Rodentia; Sciuridae. The record is from Rfam.